UGGGGAAUUUUGGACAAUGGGCGAAAGCCUGAUCCAGCAAUGCCGCGUGUGUGAAGAAGGCCUUCGGGUUGUAAAGCACUUUUGUCCGGAAAGAAAUCCUUGGCUCUAAUACAGUCGGGGGAUGACGGUACCGGAAGAAUAAGCACCGGCUAACUACGUGCCAGCAGCCGCGGUAAUACGUAGGGUGCAAGCGUUAAUCGGAAUUACUGGGCGUAAAGCGUGCGCAGGCGGUUUGCUAAGACCGAUGUGAAAUCCCCGGGCUCAACCUGGGAACUGCAUUGGUGACUGGCAGGCUAGAGUAUGGCAGAGGGGGGUAGAAUUCCACGUGUAGCAGUGAAAUGCGUAGAGAUGUGGAGGAAUACCGAUGGCGAAGGCAGCCCCCUGGGCCAAUACUGACGCUCAUGCACGAAAAGCGUGGGGAGCAAAACAGGAUUAGAUACCCUGGUAGUCCACGCCCUAAAACGAUGUCAACUAGUUGUUGGGGAUUCAUUUCCUUAGUAACGUAGCUAACGCGUGAAGUUGACCGCCUGGGGAGUACGGUCGCAAAGAUUAAAACUCAAAUGAAUUGACGGGGUCAUAGCUGUUUCCU
Molecule: ribosomal RNA, 589 nt
Filed under: uncultured bacterium
Lineage: Bacteria
Description: partial 16S ribosomal RNA
Rfam family: Bacterial small subunit ribosomal RNA
Source: RNAcentral